RNAcentral lists this ribosomal RNA (430 nucleotides) under uncultured bacterium. Its description in RNAcentral is "bacterial SSU rRNA". It matches the Rfam family "Bacterial small subunit ribosomal RNA", at positions 340 to 786 of the family's 1533-position model. The record is from RNAcentral.
UACGGAAGGCAGCAGUGGGGAAUCUUGCGCAAUGGGCGAAAGCCUGACGCAGCCAUGCCGCGUGAAUGAUGAAGGUCUUAGGAUUGUAAAAUUCUUUCACCGGGGACGAUAAUGACGGUACCCGGAGAAGAAGCCCCGGCUAACUUCGUGCCAGCAGCCGCGGUAAUACGAAGGGGGCUAGCGUUGCUCGGAAUUACUGGGCGUAAAGGGAGCGUAGGCGGACAUUUAAGUCAGGGGUGAAAUCCCGGGGCUCAACCUCGGAAUUGCCUUUGAUACUGGGUGUCUUGAGUAUGAGAGAGGUGUGUGGAACUCCGAGUGUAGAGGUGAAAUUCGUAGAUAUUCGGAAGAACACCAGUGGCGAAGGCGACACACUGGCUCAUUACUGACGCUGAGGCUCGAAAGCGUGGGGAGCAAACAGGGAUUAGAUACC